CGAUUCAUCUCAGGUCGGUAAUCGGUGAGUGGUUCGACUAAUAUAUCUAUCGUGGCCAGCAGAUAGGGGAGCGGAGUAGAAUAGGGGGAGGCAGGGGCGAAGGAGGAGGAGAAGGAGGGCGAGUGAGGGCUUGGCUUCGGAGUUCUCGAGGGUUACCGAAGGUGGUGCAAGAGGAGGCGGAAGAGGUAGGAGAGAGAGGGGAGGAGGAGUGGUAGGGGGAGGCGUAGCCGGGGGUCCUGGGAGGGGCAGCGGUUGGCGGCGGCGGCGCGGCAGCGGCAGCGGAGGUGGCGGUGACUCAGGGGCUUCCAGGAACUCGAGCCGCUGCGGUAACGGCCCGAGUGGGAACUCCUCCGAGCGUUGGAACAGCUGGUAGAGGUUCUUGCAGAACCGCAGAGACGGCGGAGGAAGCGAGGGCGACGGCGCCAGCGCCGAGGGCGGCGCCGCCGCCGGCUCCUCCGUGGCCAGCUCUUCUGCCUCAAGCUACACCAGUAGCUCCUCCACGGGUCGUCGCGCGCAUAGCGUUGGUAGUUCCAACACGCGCGUGACUGGUUGGACCGCGAUUUCCUCCGGUUCCUAGAAUAGCUCCCAGAGGGUUUCUUCGAGUUCCUCCGUCACUCGUUCCUGCUCCGGCUCCUCCGGUUCUUCGUCGAGCUCCCUCAGCCGCGGUUCCAAAGGUAUCGCACUCUGAUCUUGUUACACUCGUAAUGUAACCCGUACCGUACACUCAAACCCAUCAUCUUCUUGUACUUGAGAGGUAUACGUCUAUAUACACACCGCGACUUUGACCCUUCAAGAGACUUUUAUAACACAAACACAGAUCUCAUAAAACAAAAGGGCGCACUAAACUUAGAUAGCUUCGGCGACUUUCAACAAAAUACGGGUGAAACAUAAAGACUUAGAGAUCAAGACGAAAGGUUUCACAUUAACCCACUACGACAACCGUGGGAACUACAAUGGGUAGGUGUUCCUAGUCAGUCCAUCCGGUUGCCUUUCUCAACGUGAAAGCGGAGAGCGAAACCAUGCACAUAUAACCAUCCGUAGUGGGGUAGUCGUUAUAAACCGGCCUCUCUGGAACGUUUGUUUCAUGAGGGAGGCAAGGGUUUAUAUUCAGAAAGAUCUCUAAGGUUG
Molecule: ribosomal RNA, 1128 nt
Filed under: Triticum aestivum (bread wheat)
Lineage: Eukaryota; Viridiplantae; Streptophyta; Magnoliopsida; Poales; Poaceae
Description: partial small subunit ribosomal RNA
Source: RNAcentral